GAUGAAGAACGUCGCGAAAUGCGAUACUUGGUGUGAAUUGCAGAAUCCCGUGAACCAUCGAGUCUUUGAACGCAAGUUGCGCCCGAAGCCACUAGGCCGAGGGCACGCCUGCCUGGGCGUCACACGCCGUUGCCCCCCCAUCUACUCCUUCGGGAUUGCGGGGGGGCGGAUGAUGGCCUCCCGUGCGCCUAGACGCGCGGUUGGCAUAAAUACCAAGUCCUCGGCGACGCACGCCACGACAAUCGGUGGUUGCGAAACCUCGGUUGCCCGUCGUGUGCGUUCGUCGCGCAUCGAGGGCUCGAAAAAAUGCUCGGCUCCGGCUGGGCUUUCAACGCGACCCCAGGUCAGGCGGGGUUACCCGCUGAAUUUAAGCAUAUCAAUAAGCGGAGGA
Molecule: unclassified non-coding RNA, 391 nt
Filed under: soil metagenome
Description: partial contains 5.8S ribosomal RNA, internal transcribed spacer 2, and large subunit ribosomal RNA
Rfam family: 5.8S ribosomal RNA (bases 1-122)
Source: RNAcentral